This is a long non-coding RNA of Phalaenopsis equestris, 336 nucleotides long. RefSeq lists it as uncharacterized. The transcript has 3 exons. The record is from RefSeq and is a predicted model, not a curated record. Lineage: Eukaryota; Viridiplantae; Streptophyta; Magnoliopsida; Asparagales; Orchidaceae.
CUCUGCUCGCCACUACCGCUGUCGCCACUCCUCCGAUCCCUAUCAUCUUCUCCUCGUAGGUUUUGUGAUAUGCAACUCCUUUUUUUCGGCUAUAAAUACUCCAAGGGUGGCUAUUUGAAAGACUGAUCUUCUUUCUUGCUCAAUUCUUCUUCCCAUUUUGAUCUAAGUUAUAGAGCGUUUCUUCAAACAGUCCGAUCAUCAAGCCUAAAGAUGACUUUCUCCUGGUGAAUUAUUGGUUUGCUCUCAUAAUUUCAAAUUGAGCAGUUCUAACUGUGCACAGGUGGUGUUCCAUUUGUUUGACAGUGGCUCUUAUGCCACAUGGAAUAGUCAAUGAAC